This 1131-nucleotide unclassified non-coding RNA is filed under the name Hevea brasiliensis (rubber tree). The record is from RNAcentral. Lineage: Eukaryota; Viridiplantae; Streptophyta; Magnoliopsida; Malpighiales; Euphorbiaceae.
GAACAGUUCACUAAACGGCAUAGAUCACAAUUUCAUAAUAAUGGGACCGAUACAGGAUUGGAAAAAAUGGCUUAGUUCAAUCUGGACCUCUCCAGAGCUAUGCUCACUCCGAACAAGAUCUAUCAUUAAUGGGAACAACUGAGAAAUGUACUUCCUAAAAGAAUCCAUUUGCCAACUGCACAGAAUGCGUAGUACUGACAGAACCAAGGGAGUCCUUGCUACCAGUUCUUCCUUCUUCGCUGAUCCCAAGGGAAGAUUCCACUGGUAUAUUGCUUUAUCAUCUGGUUUCUUCUUGACAGAGUUCAACCCAGCACAUUCCAAGUAUACACGUAGAAUUUCUUCACAUACACCCACAAGUUCUGGUUCUAUAUUCUUCUCUUCGACAAAUGAUGGAUUGCUCACAAGCAACUCAUGCAAGAAAUUGAGGUAAUUCUGGUAGGACUCAUUUUCAAAAAUUACCAGCGGAGGUUCUGGUAUCUCAAGGAUAGAACAUGCUUUUUGCAGCUCCACUUGUACAACUUUCUCAGAUUUCAAUUGCUGAGCAUGAGAAGUGAUAGCUGAAUAGAUUCCAAGGAGGACAGUGACAGUAUCAACUGAUAUUGAUUGCCGACACAUCUUGUAGAGAUCAGAUGAAACCUGUAUGAUGCGCAACUGAGCUGCUAUAUGGUCCUUCAUCCUUGAAACAACAUAUCCCGCAGUAUGCAGGUUGUCAUCAUCUGAUUCAUCAUAUACCAAUCCAGCCCCAGAAGAUGUUUCCAUAUCACUAAUAGAUAUCUCAAUGUUGUCCAUUGUUCUCAAAAGCUUCUGAAAAUUGGGUAGAGUGGAAUAUGAAGCUUCUUUCAGAGCUAGAAAGAUAACUUCCCAUUCCUCUUCACAGAAUUUGCCUCUCAAAUCCCCUGCCAACCGCAUCACAGAAGCUACCCCAGUAGCUGCAGGAUCCUUGCCAGAACCUUUUAUGAAUCCUACCAUUAUAGAGACUACACUAGGCAAUUCAGACCUCACAAUAUCAAAGAAAUUAACAAACAAAUCCACCAAACAUUGAGCUGCCACCACAGAAGUUUCAGAGUCCCAUAAGCAUCCAUCUGCUGGUGGUGUGUAUCUGGAUUUAAAUGACUGGUCAUAUUUCACUUC